RNAcentral lists this long non-coding RNA (1101 nucleotides) under Homo sapiens (human). Its description in RNAcentral is "uncharacterized LOC101930100, transcript variant 2 (LOC101930100)". The record is from RNAcentral. Lineage: Eukaryota; Metazoa; Chordata; Mammalia; Primates; Hominidae.
AGAGGCCGUCCUGUAGCCGGGCCGGCUUGGGGCUUGGUUCUAUGUCCCUGCGGGUCGGUGCAAGGGCGAAGAGGAACCCGUGGGCCUCAGGGGAUCCCGGGGGGCCGGACCAGUGUUCCCUAGUUGUGGGAGCAGACGCGUGGGCACAUUGCGGGCGGGCAGGGCCUGAAGUGCAGAAGUUUAUACGAGACCUAGUUUCCAGGGAAGAACUCACUGAUUCCGCGAGGGAGAUGGCUUAAUGGAUGAUGGUCGUCAGCCUUAAGGAUACUUCAGUCUUAACUGUGUGUUACAAAGUUUGAAAGGGAGGGUUCCCUAUGAAUAAGAAGCACACUUGAAAGAACAGCCAUCUGGUCUAACCUCUCACUGGUGCUUCAGAGGAGGAAAAAAGGUCACAGCUAUGUUUCCAGUGUCCUCUGGGUGUUUCCAAGAGCAACAAGAAAUGAAUAAAUCUCUGCCACCCUCCAGGGUGCCCCGACUCACUUUCCCUGCAGAUGGAGGCAAGGAGGCUCCACAGACAACCCCCCUGCCUGAGGUCACAUAGUGGCCAGCAGGCCAGAACAAAGAAGAGAAUAAGAAAAUAAUCAUCUGGUAACCAUCAUAGUAAUAAUUGUUCAAACACAAGUCAUCCAUGAAAUGCUAAAUCUAGUGGGUUCUGAGGAGUAACCAGAUAUUUACAGAGCCUCAAAGUAUCUCCAUACAAAAUACGGUUGAACUACAAAAAGAAAAUUGUAACAUUAGCAUGGACAAACCUGGCAGGUACUCCUUAACUCUCCUAAGUAAUAAAAACUGUAAAAUGCAAAUAAGCCUUCGAUGACCUUUACUAACCUUUACUAAAGUAUCAGUGAUGACUUGGUUGUUUAAACAGCUGACAUUUGGGCAAUUUGAGUAUGUCAAACUCAAUAAUACUGGUUUUCAUUUGCAAGAUCCACUUAAAACUUAAGGAGGCCAAAAAACAUCAUUUAAAAUACCCUAUAAAUUAUAAUCAUACAUAUGAUACAAAAAUAUCCUACUUCAGUAAAUAUUGGAAUGUUAUAUAUUUUAUGAGAAACAAUUAAAAUGUGUAAAUAGCCCAGUAAUAAAGUUUUAUAAUCUUUUAAAUCA